RNAcentral lists this ribosomal RNA (449 nucleotides) under uncultured bacterium. RNAcentral's name for it is "partial 16S ribosomal RNA". It matches the Rfam family "Bacterial small subunit ribosomal RNA", at positions 29 to 523 of the family's 1533-position model. The record is from RNAcentral.
AACGAACGCUGGCGGCAUGCCUAACACAUGCAAGUCGAACGAGACCUUCGGGUCUAGUGGCGCACGGGUGCGUAACGCGUGGGAAUCUACCCUUGGGUUCGGAAUAACAGUUAGAAAUGACUGCUAAUACCGGAUGAUGACGUAAGUCCAAAGAUUUAUCGCCCAAGGAUGAGCCCGCGUAAGAUUAGCUUGUUGGUGGGGUAAUGGCCUACCAAGGCGACGAUCUUUAGCUGGUCUGAGAGGAUGAUCAGCCACACUGGGACUGAGACACGGCCCAGACUACUACGGGAGGCAGCUGUGGGGAAUAUUGGACAAUGGGCGAAAGCCUGAUCCAGCAAUGCCGCGUGAGUGAUGAAGGCCUUAGGGUUGUAAAGCUCUUUUACCAGGGAUGAUAAUGACAGUACCUGGAGAAUAAGCUCCGGCUAACUCCGUGCCAGCCGCCGCGGUAA